This 244-nucleotide ribosomal RNA is filed under the name uncultured bacterium. RNAcentral describes it as "partial 16S ribosomal RNA". It matches the Rfam family "Bacterial small subunit ribosomal RNA", at positions 1249 to 1500 of the family's 1533-position model. The record is from RNAcentral.
GCGAAGGAGUGAUUUGGAGCGAAUCCCAAAAAUAACGUCUCAGUUCGGAUUGUAGUCUGCAACUCGACUACAUGAAGCUGGAAUCGCUAGUAAUCGCGCAUCAGCCAUGGCGCGGUGAAUACGUUCCCGGGCCUUGUACACACCGCCCGUCAAGCCAUGGGAGCCGGGGGUGCCUGAAGUUCGUGACCGCAAGGAGCGACCUAGGGCAAAACUGGUGACUGGGGCUAAGUCGUAACAAGGUAAC